This 495-nucleotide ribosomal RNA is filed under the name uncultured bacterium. Its description in RNAcentral is "partial 16S ribosomal RNA". It matches the Rfam family "Bacterial small subunit ribosomal RNA", at positions 28 to 507 of the family's 1533-position model. The record is from RNAcentral.
GACGAACGCUGGCGGCGUGCCUAAUACAUGCAAGUAGAACGCUAAAGGAGGAGCUUGCUUCUCUGGAUGAGUUGCGAACGGGUGAGUAACGCGUAGGUAACCUGCCUGGUAGCGGGGGAUAACUAUUGGAAACGAUAGCUAAUACCGCAUAAUAUUGACUAUUGCAUGAUAGUCAGUUGAAAGGUGCAACUGCACCACUACCAGAUGGACCUGCGUUGUAUUAGCUAGUUGGUGGGGUAACGGCUCACCAAGGCGACGAUACAUAGCCGACCUGAGAGGGUGAUCGGCCACACUGGGACUGAGACACGGCCCAGACUCCUACGGGAGGCAGCAGUAGGGAAUCUUCGGCAAUGGACGGAGGUCUGACCGAGCAACGCCGCGUGAGUGAAGAAGGUUUUCGGAUCGUAAAGCUCUGUUGUAAGAGAAGAACGAGUGUGAGAGUGGAAAGCUCACACUGUGACGGUAUCUUACCAGAAAGGGACGGCUAACUACGUG